UUUGGUCCAAAAACGAAGAGAAAUAUCUCAUUUCAAACCUUAAAACGAUUCUCACUGGGAAAUUAUCAAAGGUGUCAAAGCAUACAACCAAAAUUGGCAAAAAUUAGAUGUUGACUCGACUAGCUUGUUUUGUCUAAAUUAAGGUCUAUUUGGAGUCGUACUGAAUCCAACCAUGCUCACGAAAAGAUGCUCAAAAGUGAGAGGUGGAAGGAGGGUUUCUUCUAACAGAGAAAAUGACAGAUAGUGAAUGAGCCAAACACAACAUAAUCCCAGCCUUCACUUGACCCCUCCUUGGAAUAAGCCUCCUCGUGUAUUUAUUCGACAAAUCUCCGCCGUUGAUCUUAAUUCUCUUCUCCAUUGAUAGAAAUUUGAAUUUCCGCUUUUGUGUAUUUGAAGAUGGAUGGAAUUUGGUAAGAAGUGAAUGAAGAGCUUGUGAGUGUAAUUGGCUAUAUAUAGGGAGAGUUCUUUACAAAAUUGCCCCUCCGUGUUUGGUGAUAAAUAUGAUAAUUCCCAAGUGAUUUAAAAAAGGUGUCGUGGUUAAUUGAUAAUGGGACCCAUUCUUGACGGUCAAAAGAUGCAAUAAUUCAGUGAUGCUUUGUC
Molecule: long non-coding RNA, 600 nt
Filed under: Olea europaea subsp. europaea
Lineage: Eukaryota; Viridiplantae; Streptophyta; Magnoliopsida; Lamiales; Oleaceae
Source: RNAcentral